Molecule: ribosomal RNA, 919 nt
Filed under: uncultured Bacillota bacterium
Lineage: Bacteria; Bacillati; Bacillota
Description: bacterial SSU rRNA
Rfam family: Bacterial small subunit ribosomal RNA
Source: RNAcentral
UGGAUCCAGACUUUGAUCAUGGCUCAGGACGAACGCUGGCGGCGUGCCUAACACAUGCAAGUCGAGCGGGGAACCGUGGAAUGAAGCUUCGGCAGAAGGAAGCGGUUUCUAGCGGCGGACGGGUGAGUAACGCGUGAGCAAUCUGCCUUUCACAGGGGGAUAACACACCGAAAGGUGUACUAAUACCGCAUGAGACCACAGGAAGGACAUCUUCUAGGGGUCAAAGGAGCAAUCCGGUGAAAGAUGAGCUCGCGUCUGAUUAGCUGGUUGGUGAGGUAACGGCCCACCAAGGCGACGAUCAGUAGCCGACCUGAGAGGGUGAUCGGCCACAUUGGAACUGAGAAACGGUCCAAACUCCUACGGGAGGCAGCAGUGGGGAAUAUUGGGCAAUGGGGGAAACCCUGACCCAGCAACGCCGCGUGAAGGAAGAAGGUUUUCGGAUCGUAAACUUCUAUCCUUGGUGAAAAUGGUGAUGGUAGCCAAGAAGGAAGCCCCGGCUAACUACGUGCCAGCAGCCGCGGUAAUACGUAGGGGGCAAGCGUUGUCCGGAAUGAUUGGGCGUAAAGGGCGCGUAGGCGGCCUUUUAAGUCUGAAGUGAAAGUCCUGCUUUUAAGGUGGGAACUGCUUUGGAUACUGGAAGGCUUGAGUGCAGGAGAGGUAAGCGGAAUUCCCGGUGUAGCGGUGAAAUGCGUAGAGAUCGGGAGGAACACCAGUGGCGAAGGCGGCUUACUGGACUGUUACUGACGCUGAGGCGCGAAAGUGUGGGGAGCAAACAGGAUUAGAUACCCUGGUAGUCCACACUGUAAACGAUGAAUGCUAGGUGUAGGGGGUAUCGACCCCUUCUGUGCCGGAGUCAACACAAUAAGCAUUCCGCCUGGGGAGUACGGCCGCAAGGUUGCAACUCAAAUGAAUUGACGGA